Vigna unguiculata (cowpea) is the source of this 691-nucleotide long non-coding RNA. RefSeq lists it as uncharacterized. NCBI's taxonomy places the organism in Eukaryota, Viridiplantae, Streptophyta, Magnoliopsida, Fabales, Fabaceae. The record is from RefSeq and is a predicted model, not a curated record.
UUAGGGUAAUUUACAUAUUUAUUUUCCUUCUCAUGCGCAAUGCUCACGGGGUUUCACUAUAAUCUCGCCUCCCAUAUUCGACCUUCCAAUUCCUAUCCAAAUUCAAACUUUCAUUUGCUUCUCAUACUUGUCCCUCAUAAGUUGAUCGAAGAAUCUUGUUCUCGUAGAGAUUGAACCCUAACUCGUGUUGGAGUGCAAGCCCACAAAUCCUAACUCGUGGUAAUAUCGAUUGUGCAAAGGACCUUACUGCUUCAUCUCCAGUGCUUUCUGGAGCGAUGGUGCAAGUGAAAGAAACUACCUCAUAAACUUCUCUUUUUGCAUGUUCUAGUCAUAAUAACCAAUGAGAACAUGUUACAGAUAUAUAGCAAUUGCACACAAGAAAGCCAAAGUAAAUUAUUUUGGGCUGCAUCUGAGGAAGAGAUUGCGAGGUUUUCCCUUUUAGGCUCUAUUGACCAAAGAGGGAACCCUGAGUUCCUUGGAAGAACAGUGACCCUAGAGCCUGCUAAAGGAGGAAUGUGUAAAUAUUUCCAAAUAAUUAAUCUUUUUUUACCCUAUUAUUGAGGUUGAUUUAUUAAUGAUUAUCGGUUCCAUAUUUCAUUUAUUCAACUGUUAUGUGAAGUUUAUGUAGUAAUUCUAGUAUAAGUGUGCAAGCAAAGUAUAAUGUCUACGUCAUGUUCAUAUGAUAGCAUAU